UAAUAAUAAUAAUUCUAGAUCCAUUAGGAUGCCCGAGACUUGAUUGCAGAAUUUUUUUUUAUCUAGUUCAAAUGAAAACCCAACAUAAUCAAAAUUUAUUCUAUGCUAAAAACUCUAUUCCAGACUGUUCAUUGUUUAUUAAGUUUCAAACUUUAGAAAUCACUUAGUUGGCUGCAUUAAAGGUUGUGAACUUGUUUUCAUGAAUUUCACGCUGCAAUAAAAUAUUGAAAUAUUUAUUGUUCAAGCUUUUUUUGGGGGAGAAAAUGAUUUCAUAAACUACAGCCUAAAAGAUUUGCAAUACAAGAAUUGCACCUUGAAAAUUCCUUUUAGUUAUUUGAAUAUCUAGUUUUUUAAUCUACAGAGCUUUUUUUGAAAGUAUUUAGUCAGUAAUAUGUUAUUCUAGUCAUUUAUAUAUAGAUUUAGUCAUUCAUUUAUA
Molecule: non-coding RNA, 436 nt
Organism: Biomphalaria pfeifferi
Lineage: Eukaryota; Metazoa; Mollusca; Gastropoda; Planorbidae
Source: the annotation of a GenBank genome assembly